Molecule: ribosomal RNA, 394 nt
Filed under: uncultured organism
Description: bacterial SSU rRNA
Rfam family: Bacterial small subunit ribosomal RNA
Source: RNAcentral
UGCUUUACACAUGCGAGUCGAACGGCAGCAACAAAGAGCUUGCUCUUUGGUUGGCGAGUGGCGAACGGGUGAGUAAUGUAUCGGAACGUGCCCAGUAGUGGGGGAUAACUACGCGAAAGCGUAGCUAAUACCGCAUACGCCCUAAGGGGGAAAGCAGGGGAUUCUUAGGAACCUUGCACUAUUGGAGCGGCCGAUAUCGGAUUAGCUAGUUGGUGAGGUAAAGGCUCACCAAGGCGACGAUCCGUAGCUGGUUUGAGAGGACGACCAGCCACACUGGGACUGAGACACGGCCCAGACUCCUACGGGAGGCAGCAGUGGGGAAUUUUGGACAAUGGGCGCAAGCCUGAUCCAGCAAUGCCGCGUGCAGGAAGAAGGCCUUCGGGUUGUAAACUGC